Non-coding RNA from Anas platyrhynchos (mallard), 16376 nucleotides. Lineage: Eukaryota; Metazoa; Chordata; Aves; Anseriformes; Anatidae. The record is from RefSeq and is a predicted model, not a curated record.
CCCAUCCCGCGGCCGCCCGGUCCCCGGCCGCCCCGUCGGGCGGGGCCGGGCGCCGAGGGCAUCCCCGCGCGGCCGCGCGCGCCCCGGUCCGUGCGCGGCCCCGCGCGGCCCCGCGCACCGCUGCGGGAAGCGGAGGCGGUGGCGGUGGCGACCCAGCGGUGCUGGGCUCGCCCCGGAGCAGCCCGCAUCGCCCCCAGUUUUAUUCAGGGAAGAAGAAGGUGUCCUGUCAUGAGAAAAUGGAAGAAAUAUGCAGUGAGAGAAGAAAUGAUGUUCUAAAACUGAGUCCUAUAUUUUUUUUUUUUAAUGUGCAUCAAAAGAGAACAUUAAGUAGUGUCUACAAUUUAAAAGAUUCAUCAAGAACCCCGAUAAGUACAAAUUAAGAACCUGACACUGAUCCAUCCUUCAUAUUCCUUGUUUUUAAUUUAGACUUCAACUGAGCCAGAGGUACAUGAGCAUCUGGGAAGAAUCUGAAUAAAACAGCAAGAGCAGAAAUGGAGCAGUGUUUGCCUUUGCCAUUUUUAUUUUUCAUUCUCUAUAUACUAUGGCUUCAAAAUAAAACCUCAAGAUUAGAAAGCAAUAUGAGCCAUAAAAGCUAAGUUUUGAAAGUAAAAGACUCCCAUUUGCUCCAUAAACAGGGAAGAAGCCUGGGCCAGAGACAAUGAAACUGAAGUAUUCUCAGGCCUGUCCUGGCAAUUUUUAUGGCAUAUAAAGAGCAGGUACUAGAAUGACAGUCGCUGAAGUGAGGCAAAUUAAGGAGCAACAGAAGUUGUAGCAUAUCAAAAAGAGCAAUCAGGGCUCUGGCUUUGGGCCCAAGCUGCCAUUGGUUGUCUUUUGUACAUCAGCCAUUGUGUGACCAAGUAUCACCACUGCCACAAUUAGAUGUACAAGGUGGGGAGUCAGGCAACUCACGAGGGCAAAUCAGCAGAAGAUGAAUGAGUCAGUGAUAUCGAUAGCAUGUUAAUUUACUUAUCAGGCAGAAUUUAGAACUGUAAACUAACACUGAUUGAAUUGUGUCAUCAUGACGAAAUUAUUCACCAGCCUUGUGUUGCUCAAGAUCACAGGUACCUAUUUUUAACUGAAAGAUGCUUUUACUUUUUUUCUUCAUUGUCAUGCUAUUUUAUUCCAAUUUUUCUUUCGGUUUGGCAUUUUCUAAAGUUUUUCAUUUUAAGACUAGUUUGUAUGUCUGAAGACAAAGGAAUUAGCUUUUGUUUAGGGGAGUGGGCCAGCAUUUAAACAGAAGUUCUCUGAUUGCAUGAGUUCAAGCACAGAUGUCUUAAACUUCUCAUCUUAGCAAAUGAAACACCCAGUCUUUAUUGUUUUUAUUCCCAGUUGACUGUGAAUCCAAGGGCUGGCACAUACAGCUGAAAAUUAAAAACUUGGAAUCCCACGUUAGGGCACUGUCAUCCCACUGAGUUCAGUGAAGUUUCCACGGUACAUACUAGGUGAUGAUGAUGUAUUUAGAAUUCACAUUCUUAGUCAGGAAGCCAAGUCUGCAUUAGGAGAACAUGAAACAUGAAAACAAAGUGAGAAAGCUAAGUCCCAAAUGUGAGAAUUAACCUUCUGUAAAACAAGUAAAUACUAGAGUAAAUUCAUGGCUGUACACUACUAACAAAAGCAAGUGUGUCAUAUAAAAUAUAUUAUGAAGGUGAUUUUUGGAGCAAUGUGUGAGACUGUGAGUUGGAUAGAGGGAGUAGAUAAAAGUGUUGUUGUUUUCUUAUCAUAGCUAAAAUUCAAAGGGUAAAAUCAAAUAACUUGUUAGUCCACUGACUAUUUGUCUCAAUGUGUCAUUUUGAUUUCAUUGUUUUCUUGUGUUUGAUCUGCACACAUCUGCUGCUUCUAAGUUGUUUAGGCAGAGAUGGUCUUUUUUGAUCUGCACUUAUGUAGCAGCUAAAACAGAGAGCUCCUGCUUUCUGCCCUGGGCUUCUGGACACUGCAGUAGUAUAAAUGAAGAUGGAAAUACUCUUUUAUGAAGGAGUAUUCAAGGGUAGUCAAACCAACUUGCAUGUGUUUUGUGCAGAUGUCAUCCAUGUAAUGCAAGGACAGAUCUGAGUCAGUGUCAGUCUGUUCCCCUGUAGAUGGUGCCCCUUGUUCAGGGAUUCAGUUUUGGGUUGCCAGCUAAAUUUCCCUAAUCUUCUUCUGCACUUUUAAAAUCAGUUUUCUCCCAAGUGGUGUUCAGAGUGGUACUCCAGAAAAACAGCAUUUGCAGUGCAGGUAGGACGAAGAGGACUGAAGUCCUGGUUUUCCCUUCAGGUACAGUCUACUCUAUAAAAUGAAUAACUACUAAGCUGUGGCUUCCAGAGUGUCCAGGUAUUAUUAAUAUCCAAUCUUACCCAAUGGUGGUAAGUGUUAUGGCUUCCCCAGUGUGAAAUUUCUAGUCACUGGUGACCACAUGCAUCAUAUGGAUGACUGUAAUAAAAAGAAUGGCAAGCGUGAUUUCUGAUUUAAUUCUGAGGAGCUGACAAAGCACAAGGAAGAGCUGUGUUUUCAACCUGAAGAAGAGGAGGCUCAGGGCUUUCUUACCAAUAUUUAUAAAUACUCAAAGGGAGGGUGCAGAGAGGACAGAGCUGGGCUCUUCUCAGUAGUGCCCAGUGCCAGGACAGGAGGCAACGGUCACAAAAUGAAACACAAGAGGUUCCAUCUGAACAUCAAGAAACAGUUCUUUACUGUGCACAUGACAGAGCACUGGAAUAAGCUGCCCAGCGAGGCAGAAGUCUUCAAAAGCCACCUGGGCAUGGCCCUGGGCAGCCUGCUCCAGGUGGCCCUGCUUGGGCAGGGCUUGGGCCUGUUGGGCUCCAGAGGCCCUGCCAGCCUCAGCCACUCAGAGAUUCUAUGUAAUGGCAGUUAUUGUUACCUAUGCAGAGAGGAUAGAGAUUUAAACUUUGUCUUUUCAGUUUGCCACAAUAUAUAUGAGACAUUCCUGUCAUUCUGCGGUCUCCAGUACAAAAUAGGGAUGACAUUGAUUCAGUUCUGAGAGCCUCAAAUAAGUUGCCUGUGUAAGUGCAAAAUAUGCUUAAUGUUCAAACACCCUGAGAGCAGAGUAAUGAUGAAUAUACAUAAUAGAAUAUACCAUUGAAAUGCGUUUAAAACCUUAUCACUUCAAGCUUCCUGAACUUGAUGUCUCUAAUUUGAGAUCUCCACAAAACCUUCAUCAUGCAGCAGAUGUAUAGCAAAGAUACACCAAAAAGCCGGCCUAGCCAUGAAGCAUGACAAGUUCUACACUAGCUAUUCAGAGGAGGCAAAAACAUUAAUGUGAAGAAAAAAUGGGAUAGAGUUACUAGGGUACAAAACUAGUUAAUAUAUUUUAAAUUUCAAGAAGUACUUCUGAAUAUCAGUACUCUGAUAAAUAAAUUCUCAAAUGAGUUUGUAUGUACCUCACACAGUCAUUUCAUUCAAAGGCACAGUGAAAUUAUCCUAUUAUUUAUAUUUUAAAUGCCAAACCAUAAAGGUGUCAGGAUAUUUUUACUGCAGUCACCAUUUCAUAAUAUUUUCUGUCCUUUUUAAAAAAUGUAUGUAUUUCCCUUACAGAAAUGCAGUUGCUUUACAAUUCUGAUGUUUAGACUAUUGUUCUGUGUAAAAGCUUGCAAAACACGUGGAUAAAUGAACUGGAAAUUAUAUGUCAUUAAUAUAAUUAGGAGAGAAGAAUUUUUAAUUUCAGUUUCUUCAUAGCUAUGUUUUAGCCUAAAUGCAAUACAGUAAACUAGUUACCUCUGACAAUUCUAUCUGUCAGCGCCAUUUUGUUCGCAAACCAAAAUGCUUGUUUUGUUUCCCACAUUGCUUUUCUGUAGCUUUCAAAUCGGAUGAGCAGAAGAAGGGAAUAGAGCUCUCUGACUGUAAUUGUGUUGUUAAGAUGUUAAGGUCAGUGGUAGUGUCACUUCUGCAAAUCCUGACAGUUAUUUAUCCAAGUCAAACCUGAUUUUUUAAUCAUUACAAUAUGUCUUCUUUUCUUUUUUCUUCUUUUUUAUUUUUAUUUUUAUUUUUUUUUUCUGCCUUUUAAAAAACUUAGGUGAAUAAAAUAUAAAACCUACCCAGUAACCUUAAUUCUCCUCACAAUUGCACAGGUAAAAAUUUCUAGUAGAUUUUCUGUUUUAAAAGCACAGUUUCCACAACUGCUAUCUUCUAUAAAUCAAGCUAUCUUAGAGACCCAAAGAAGUUAAUGUAGCAGUGAAUAAUUUUAAUUCAAACCCUCAGUUUAAAUGUGAAGUUUUCAGGGAAUGCAGACUUCAUUAGCACACUGGGGACAUAGUUUCUUCCUUACUCAGUAGUUCUUAGUCUGGGGCAGUACCACCUUCCUGAGGUGCUCAUAAAUCCAUGAAUGAAAAUCCCCUGACACCUUCCUAGCUUUUUGCUUUUGACCUUUUUAGUUACCAGUCCUCUACUUUUCCUUCUCUGUUCACCUGAGAAUAUAUUUUCAUUAUUUUCAUUAUGUUCAGCCUGUUCACCUGAGAAUAUAUUUUGUGGUGACAUUGCUAAUCCUAAGUGUGAAAUGAUCUGGACAAUCGCAAUUGUUCUCUUCAUCCUUGACAUUGAACCCAUUUCUGCAAGGUUUCUUUCUUUUAGGGAUGGAGGUAAAAGCAGACUUAUGACUGAUGCUGAAGAAUGACAAUAUAUUGCUCCAUGCUGAGUAAUGGAAAACUCACUAAGCUAUUGUUUUGUUUUUAAUUCUUGUUUGUACCUUAAGAGAAGUAACUAGUCAGGAAUGUUACUUAAUGGUAAGAAAAAAAAAAGAAAAAAAAAAAGAAGAAAAGAAUAAAAGUAGACUCAAAGCAAUUUAGGACAGUCAUGAUAAAGUAUAAAGAUCCUCGUCACUAGAAGCUCAUCCUUGCCCACACUGAAAUCAGACUAAGAGAUUUCUAGCCUAAGCUCUGUAAUUUGAUCCUAGGGAAAAGUUCAGCCCAGAGGAAUGUUUGGUACUAAUUAGUUUAAGGAUUUUGACCAGUAUCUUCUUGUCCUUAAGUGCGGAUUUUCAAAGAAAUGGUGAUUUCAUAUGAUCUUUGAUGUUGGGAUUCUAAAUUAAAAUGUUCUUUCUGAAGAUGAGAGCCUAGAUUAAGUUAUUCUGAGAUUUACAGUGGGCUCCUUUUUGCCUUAACUUUCUUCCUUCUGCUGGAAUCUAUGACCCCCACUUUCCCAUAAACACAAAAAGGAAUUGUAAUUAUUAUUCCUUCAUAAAUACAAAGGUAUCUGCAGAAUUACCUCAGGGAUUUAUUAAAGCAACAGUCAUUCCUCUGAAAUUAACAAAAGGCCUGUUCAAUGCUAAGGUGUUUGUUUGUUUAUUUGUUUUUAACUAACUCUUCACUUUUGCUUUCCUUUUGAAUGUUAUAAUGUUAUUAAGCUUUACUUCUGACCGGACUGAUUUUUUAAAGGAAAAUGGUCAUGCCUUUUUUUUUUUUGUUACAGGGGUACAUAAAAAUGUCCAUGUUUGACUUUUUUGAAAAGAUUUAUAUUAGCUUGCCUUCCCUUGUACUUGAAUUUAAACAGAACUUGUUUUGAUUUUUCUUGCAGUCACUUCUAAAAAAACCUUGGCAGUUUUCUUUGAGUAAAAAAAAGGUUAUUUGCUGAAGUUAUUUACAGUUUAAUUACCAGUUUAAUUACAAUCUAAUGUCUUGUUUACUGUGACACUCUCUACUCUGCAGGCUGAGCUGAAAUAGAUUACAGAAGCCACAAUGGCAAUAGAUUCACCUUUGUUUGGAGUUGGACAGUCUUCUGCUGCUGUCAGCAGAGCAACCCUGGAAAACAGUACCAACCGUCCAGGGUUGAUUAAAUGUGAAGAAUCACAGAAUGGCCAAGGUUGGAAGAGACCUCUGAAGAUCAUCUAGUCCAAACCCCCUUCCAAGCAGGAUCACCUAGAACACAUUGUGCAGGAUAGCAUCCAGGCAGGUUUUGAAUAUCUCCAGAGAAGGAGACUCCACAGCUUCUGUGGAAGGGCAACCUGUUCCAGUGCUGUUUCACACUCACAGUAAAGAGGUGCCCACCUUAUAUUCAGCCAGAACCCUCUGUGCUUCAGUUUGUGUCCAUUGUUUCUUGUACUGUCACUGGGCAUAACUGAAAAGAGAAUGGCUCCAUCCUCUUGACACUAUCUCCUCAGAUAUUUAUACACACUGAUGAGGUCUCCCCUCAGUCUUCUCUUUUCUAGGCUAAACGGGCCCAGCUCUCUCAGCCUGUCUUUGUAUGACAGGUGCUCCAGUCCUCUAGUCAUCUUCAUAGUCCUCCUCUGCAACAGUAGUACAGAAUUAGUCCAUGAAUCACCUCUGCAAAAGCAUAUAUAGAUGGAUAACUUGUUAUGGAUCUAUAUUUAUACUCUUGCUUUACACGUUCAUUCAAAUAAUCCAACCUUGGAGUAGAUAUCACAGCAUCUCUUCUUCCUUGCUUUUUCUGUCUACAUUCUCAUCAUACAUUGGAAACGUCCUUUCCAAGCUGUCAUGCACAAAUUCAUACUGAGAUGGAAGGAUGGUACCUAUAUUUUUUACAAUGAAGUAUUAUUCUUUCUAGUAUGCUUACCUCUACUACAGCAGUAGUAAAGCUAGUAUUGUGGCAGUUAAGCUAGUAGAGCAGUAGUAAAAAAUAAAAUACUAAAUUAAUAUAGAAGCAAAAUAAAAAUAGUAUAUUUAGUAAAAAUAAAUUUGUCUAUAAAGUAAAAUAAAUACACUAAGGUAAACAAAGUAGUAAACUAGUGUAGCAGUAGUAAAGCCAGUAUAGCAAUGAACAGACACUUCUAAUGGCAUGAGAACAUACUGUGAAUUUGAAGAUUGUUUUGGAAUUGGAAGGGCUUUUGUGCUGUCUGGAAGAAGAUGAAAAAGGCUCUUUCCAAUAUUAUUCUUUUUAACAUCAAGGGAUUGCUGGAAUACCCUGAAGCAACCUUAAAAUAUGCAACAGUCUUUCACUUUCUAGAACUAUAUUUUUAAUAUAAUUUCAGUAACAGUUCCUUUUAUAGUUCCUAUUUCUCCCAGAAAGUUAUGUAUAUUUUUAUUUUAUUUUAUUUAUUUAUUUAUUUAUUUUUAAUGCAUUCUUCCAUGAAAGGAAGUAUAACAGAGUAAUCUUUGUCUUCAGAUCAUAUCACCUGAGACAGAGUUGAAGGGUUGACUGAAUUAGAAUUCCCUUAAUAAGCCACAGAAAAGUGACUAAUAUCAUCAAAAACGAAAUCUCUGCAGCUCUUGCUGGAGCCAUCAGCUCUACGUGAGUUUGGAUAUUAUUACUAUUCAUCAUCAAUAUCCUCUGCCUCAGGAUGUUAUUUCUAAGGUGAUUUUCUCAUCAGUAUUUUUUUCCGUUUUGGUUUCUUAUCUUGACUUCUAUAUCUCUGCCAUAAUAUUUAUAAUGUUCCACACAGGAACAGUAAUUAAACUUUUGUGUUGCUCUGUGCCUUCAGCCUCUAAUGCACUGUAUAAUGUUAUAGUCCUAAAGUAGGAGAGUCAGAAUCCUCUACUGUAGACUUCUGGGAAAUUUUCCAGAAGUAUAUUCUGAUUUGAAUCAUGUAAUAAAUUGCACUGACAUGCGACUGUCCUGAUAAUGGUGUACCAAGAUCUCUUUGCAGAUAUGUCAGAAAUCUGGGACCUUUGUGAUUUAGAAUUUAUAAAAUUGAGCUCUUUGUGAAAGAGCCCAGAUAAUCAGAAGUCUGAGACUGCUUAUAACCAGUUCUCUUUUCAAUUCUUCAUAAUUGAUCCCCUGUCUGUUUUUAAUUGUUAUGUAGAUGUGGGUACUAUCAUGUAAAUGAAGGUAUCUUUAUACUUCAAGUAUUUUCUGGCCUUUGUUCUUCAUAGUGUGAGAUGCAUUUGGCUGAGAGAGUACUUUGUAUUAUCAUUUCAUUUCCAUGCCUUGUUUGUAUUUAACAUCAUCAUUUUGCUACAAGUUUUCUGAAGUUCUUCCUCCAUUUCUCCUUCUGUAACACUGCAUGUAAUAUUUAAGUAGCAUUUGAGCUAGACUUCCUGUAUAUGACUCACUCAGCUUGCAUUAUUUAGCCUAAAUUUUCCAUUACUAAACUCCCCAAAAAUCUAUUGCUUACAAGAUGACUGACAGUUUUGGAACAUACCUUAUUGUUUUCCAUUUGGGCAUCUUAAUGGACCCUCAGCUGGUUUGAUAGACUCUGUACUUUUCCAAUUAGAAUGAAUUUAUGACUGUGAAACUAGUUUGAUCUUUGACUAUCCUAACUUCUCAGAUUCAUCACUUUUAGUUAAAUGCCUUAAUUGGCUUCUGUUUCUUUACAUAUUAUCUUGAUCACAUUGACCCCAAGAAUAUUGUCUCUUCGCUUGAACAUGCUGAACUAGCAACCUGAUUUAAUGUUGACGUAGAUGCCUACUCAGAAGUUGCUGAAUCACAGAUUCCUUUCCAGAAAUUGGCUUCAUAUAUUUAUUUAUUUAUUUGGUAUUUCCUUCACAGUUUCCUGUUGAUGCAUAAUUCAGCUUUAAAACAAUGUUUAUAUUAAAAAUAGAAGAAAUGUUAUGUUUGUGUUAUUAUAGUUUGCUUUAAAGUCAAUUUACCACUCUUUCUUCAAGUCCAAAGAAGUUCAAAUAAUAAGCACAAAAACACUGCUUAAGGAAGAAAAAAAGCUCUAAGUUUCUAAAAAUGCUUACCUUGUUUUCACUUCUCAAGUAUUCAGGUUGUCUGUUUUCUUGGCAGAACCAGUUUGCCGUUAAAACUAAGAGCUAGAACCUGUGUUCCAAACACAAAGACAUGGUUAGAGAAAGGUCAUCAUGCAGUGGGACACAAAGCCACACUAUUACAAAGGUUCAAAUUUACCUAAGAAUUGAGAUCCGCAGUGCUUUUGUUGAUGCUGUCUCUGAAUAAUUUAAGAAAGACAGUUGAUCUGAAAAUAGAUUACCAGUGACACUUCACUGGAAAUGCAAGAUGGUAGGGAUGUGGAAGAGGACACUAAAGACACUAGAUUCAAGUUUCCGUGCUGUAGCCAUCUGUGCUACAGCAUCUAGUCAGGAACUGUUUUGUUGAGGUUGGGAUCAUGGGUUAUAGGUAGGGCUCCAGGGCUGCUUCUGGGCUUGGAAGAGCAAGCCUGAUCCCACUCCAUUACCCAAUGUAUUGGGUAAGAGGCUCAGAAAUCACAUUCACAUCAGGGCUGUGCCUGCCUCAAGCAGUAUCUGUUGUAAUGGAUAUAACAUGAAUACCAAUCAGAAAAGAUUCAGUUUUAAAAACUGAUUUGCAUGAAGCCUCUCUCAGCAGCUGUCAGGAGCUGCUAGGUUGGGCUAGAACCAUAUAACAUCCUGCUUAUGCACUAACACUCAGAUGUUUUGUUAUUAAAAUGUCAGUCAUGUUAUAUCACUAGAACAUGUUUAGCAUAACUGUUUUGCAUUGGCAUCUAUAUGUUUCUGAUGUUUAUUCUGCAUAACCCUUUAUCUCUGUUCCCACCAUGAUUUCAGUCUUCUCUUCUGCCGUUUUUAUUUUUAAAUCAUAUAUAGCUUGUAGUUUGAAAGUCAGUCUGCUUAUCUUUUAAAGCACAUCUUUCUUUUUCAAAUUAGAAGAAGAAAUGGUAGAAUCAAUGAAAUUUAGAUGAGAUUUAGGAAAUUGAAUAUUUAUUUGCAGAAUUCAGAUGUUCUCUUUUUUGCAGUCAAAAUUUGCAAGCCAGUUUAGUAGUGACUGUUUCCCAAAACAUACAUAUCAUUUCAGAAAAUAAGUUGUUUUGAAAACAAGUUGUGUGGAAUGAUGCAAUAUGAAAUGACUCAUGCAGUUUAAACUGCAUUCCAAAUUAAAAUUAAUAUACCACAUCUUUUUUACCAUAUUUCAAAUGCAUAGUUCUUAAAAAUGGUGUAAAUUGGUGUUGUAAUUUACCCAUAAUAAAAACAUCAAGUGGAAAUCAAAAUUUUACUUCAGUCAACUCAGUGUCUCUUGACAUUCAGCACUCUUCCUACAGCUCCACUCUGAGCCUCAAGAUUUCAUGAACAUUUCAGAUUUAUUUUGUACUUGUUUUACAUUUGUGGCUAGCUUAAAAACAUUACACAGUAAAGCCUGAAAAACAACACCCAGGUAUCAGAUAACACAUGAGCAAAUAUGAUCCUUUAUUUAUUUAUAUUUUUUAUAAAUUUCAUCUUCAAGAUACUCUUUUGGGAUUUAGGAUUUGAUAUCUUUUGUUUGAAUAGUCUCAGUUGUUAAUACUAAAGAUUGUCAAAUCCUCUGCAAUCCAGUUGCAAUGCCAAUACACAGAAAUUUACAUGUACUAAACUCUUAACAAAUCUUUAUUAGAAAGAAAGGGAUGAGCAAAAAAAUCAUUUGACCUUACAUGUCUGUUCCAAAGACACAUAAUACAUUUUUCUGCACUCAUAUUCAUUAUUUUAAGGUAAACACUGAACAGCCGUUAUUCUAACAUCCUUAUUAAAAGCUUCAACAGCUUCUAAACAAAACAGGAGAUUAGUAGAAAGUAGUAGCAGUAGUAGCAUCUGCCUUGAACAGUAAAAUCCAGGUAAAACCAAUAGUAUAGGACAGGUACCUUGGCUUCAACAGAAUCCCUGUCUAAAACCAAGAAAGAGGAUUUCAUCUGAUAAUCUUCAGGAUGACUUUGCAUAUUCUGGAAAUUUCCCAAGAGGCCUUCCCAGGGAGUGCCUUAUCCUCUGUAUCAUCAUCAUCAUCUACCUAACUGCACUGGAUUUGCUUAGGUGCAGCAGCUUCUUUGUGCACUUCAUUAGUUUGGUGUGAACAUGACACACAUUCUGGCUUAUGCUGAAUACAUGUGAUUGUUUUAAUGGAGAAGAUAAAGUAAUUAACUCUAUAUUGCACACCAGAAAGCCCAUUUGAAUGUUUGUGUCAAGCUAUAUACCUGCUCACGUAAGAUUUACUUCUAUACAUUUCCUGUAAUCUGCUUUCUGGACUUCUAGAACUUCAGAGCUUUUCUUGGCUUAAGGUUUUCCUUACUCAUUUAAUGGCCUAUUCUUAUUCCUGUUAACCUGUUAUUCAGGUUAAUAUCAUAUUAAUUCGGUCUAGAAUUCAUACACUUCUAAGGAGUCUAUGCAGAAUCUGUAAAAAACAAUUGCUAAGAAUAUAGACAUUUUCAAAUCCUUAGGUAUGCACAUAUCCAUAAUGGUUCUUAAUAUCUUGGCCUUUGUAUUUCCUGUGCAAUCAUUUCACUUUGUCACAAGUUGUCUGAGUUAGAUUGGAUGCUACCCAGUUUCUGAGUGAUACAAUGAGUGAUACACUUCAAAUGUGUCCUACAGUAGUGGCAUAGAUCACGGUGCUAUUUACAGUUGAACCAGGGCAUGGCGGCAAUCCUGCAGGUUUCACAAGAAGCCAGUUUGACAUCUAACCCAUGAGAUUUCAGAGCUGGAAUACAGGCAAGCUUGGACACUUAGAUAUUUUGUGGACAAAUAAAGAAGGAAUGAUGAAAGAAAGUACAUUUUGGUAGUCAUCCUUCACUCUAAAUAAAUUGUAUUACAUAAUGAUUAACAGAUUUAAUCUCUUUAGCUCCGAGACUACUAGAAUGCAGAUUUCUUCUCUCAAAUUAGGUGAUUUUCUCAAAAAAAUAUGUCAGUUUUUCUGAGAAAAAUAAAUGCAUCAACACAUCUGCUCAAAGGAACAAAGCAGGACACUUGUCUCCUUGAUGAAUGAUUUUGAAACUUCUGGACAAAAGUAUGCCAGUGUAAUAAAAAAGAAUCCUGUUCUGCCUAUGGGCAGUAUAUAAAGGAAAAGGGCACUUACAUAAGUAAACUUUAUUUUAGAAACUAUAAAGAGAAAAAGGUGAGGAAAAAGUCAGAAAAGAAAGCCUUGCUGGCUACAAUAAGUAUCAAGGGUCUUGACUAUAAAUUGAGCUCUAGAGAUGGUUUUCUGGCUAUAGGUACAGCUUUCAGGAUUCAAAACUGACUUUGUUAACUUGGUGAAUUAAUAAAAGGCUCCAACUCUGACCUGAUUCUCACUGGUUAGCAGUAAGUCUUUUGGCCUGCAGGACAGACAUCCAACCAGGAAAGCUUUGGAGAUAUUUUUAAAAUGGAAGGCAAGUUUUUGUUUCCCUUCCAAAUAGGACUUUAUUUUGGCUUAUCUACCUUUUUAUCUGAUUGCCUGCCAUUUUUUUUUGCCCUUCCCAUUUGUCUUCUUUUAAAUAAUCUUUCUUUAGUGUAGCUCCCCAAAAUAUUCUUGAUUCAGUUAUGUUGGCAGAAAAUGCCAAUCUGUUUUAAAUCACAUUCUAUAGGAAUAUAUUUGUUUCAAUGAAACUACAGCUGAAAGCAAUUAUGGGGAUUUGGAACAAAAUUAAAAUUAAAAAAUCCUGGGAGCUCUUCUAGCUACAAAGCUUUAAGUUAGUGGCACUCACGUGGGAAUUGAGUUCAUGUCCCUGUUCCAUCCAAAUUGGAACCAGAAUUGGAACUGAAAAUUGGAUCGGGGUCAUUUGCAUUUCAGGAAAGUGUCUUGCUUGGUAAGCCAGUAAGUCAACAUCUUCAAUCCAUCAAAUGUUUUUCAUUUAAAUAAUUCCUGAAUAAGAAGGCUUCAGCUUCAUGCUUCAUGCAGAGGAGACACUUGUACCUGGUCCCCCACAUUCUCCUGACUCUCCUAAGCCAUGUGGCAAUUCUAAGAACAGUCUCUCAGUUUCGAUAGACCCACUCCUUCCUAGUAAACUAAUAACAUCAAAAGCUUUGCUAAACAGUAUUUCUGUAUGCCAGCUGGCAUUUCUGUGAAGAUCUGGGUUGCCACUGACGAUAGCACUGCAGAGAUGUUCUGUCAGGUCCCACAGAUGGAGCUUAGAAACAUGGAGAGGGAACUGGAGAGAUGCAGGUUCCCCAGACUCCCUUGACACCUAUCCUUAGUUCCUGGGUCCAAGACUGGAAAGUGGAGGAGAGAAGGAAGAUGGGGGACUUGCCCCCACAUAAGAUGGGAAACAGAAUUAGCCUGGAGCAGGUUUUUUUUUUUUUUUUUUCUUGGUAAAUGGAAAUUUAGAAAUUUGUCAUCUUAUUUGAAAUAUUGAACUCUGUGUUUAUUUCAUUCUCUCUCUGGAUUUACAAGAGCUAUUUUCAUCCAAAGUAAAAUAAAAAGCACAGGCAAAGUAGCAUGUGUGGCAACCAGCUUCUUCCUGUCUCAUAGAGGCCUAUUAUGAAGGCCUAUUUUCACUUGCCUUUUUCUCCCCAAAGAGAUGUUAAACUCAGUUUUUAAAGGGCUUUAUGGUAUAAUCAAACCAGCUCAGCACAGCAGGCAUUCGCAUCUUUUUCUCAUAUUAUUAUAAAGUCCGCUUUCAAGUAUGUUUGUAUCCCAUUGCAUUUUGGGAAUUCCGGAGAUUAUAAAUAAAAGUGUCUUCUUUUCUUGAAAGAACCUCACGGCAGGUUCUUUUAACAAAUGCUUUUCUGCUCAACAUUAGAGAUUGCAGUGUAAAGUUCACUCUUAUGGGAAAAAUGUUCCUCCCACUUAUCAAAGACUUAUUUUAGGCACAUGAGUUUAAGACAUACCUUUAAAAGGUUGACUUUUUGAAAAGCACAACAAACCCUUUGUCUUCUCAAUUUACAUGUUUACUUUGCCACUUCCAGGCUAUAACUUAAUUAGAUUGUUGCUUGUUUACUUAUUGCACAUAUUUUCUAAAGCACACAGAUGAACCUUAAAACAGCAUUUGUUCACCUGGAGUCAGCAUAUGGGCAUGACCUUAUCAGAAAUUGCCAGAUGGAUAUAGGCAGGCAGCAAGAGGGCUAUGUGAAAAGUAGAGAUUUUCAUUUGCACUUUUUGACAAGGCUUUCUGAGAGAUGUGAAAAAGAUUGUUAGUCCUUCUUCAGUGAAGGCUGGAUUCACACUCACAAACAAAUCCAAUGGGAAAUUCAUAUUAAGUCUGCCAGAUUUGUCCUGUGAAAUGACAGAUUUGUAUGCAAAUAAGACCAUUAGGAUUUCAGGGAAAAUAGUGGUGAUUUAAUUCAUUUAGUUAAAAGUUUUCAGCUAACCCUGAGAUGUUAUACAAUACUUCAUGGAGAGUUGGUUAUAUAGAAAACUCAGAAAUUCUGAGAAUUCCAGAAAAAGUUCCACCCAAAUGAAAGCAAUUAUGACAUGUUCAAAAUGCCAACUAACUGGUUAUACAAGACGCUUUCAUUUUUUAUUUAUUUUUUUUUAAGUGUAUGCUAGGUGUCUUCUCUCCCACAUAUCUGCAACAAAAUGAGGACGAUCAGAAGAAAAAAUGGGAAUUAAUCAUAAUUGUUGCUGAAAUAAGAAGAUGAUAACCAACAGCCCUCUUCAUUGAUGAAAACAAUAACAUUUUCCAUGGGUAAGAUAUAUACUUUCAGGAAUGUGACUCACAAACAGAAAAUCAAUAAGGAGAAAGUUCAAAUUCUGCUGCCUGUGUACUAAAUGUGUGCUGAGCAAAAUAAGAGCUUACUAGGCAGAUCUGCAGUCUAUUGAGUUUUGCAAUACUUCUCAGUUUGAAUCUGGUGUAGAAGCAGCCCAGCUGGAAUUGAGACUUACUAUGCACUCCCACUGUGUAGUUUCACAAACUAACAAGAGAAAAUGAGUUUUUUUUUGAAAAAAUAUGGGAAAUAGCUUGUAAAAAGAAUGCUUCUUCCUCUGAAGAAAUGGGCUCUCAAUUAUUUUCAGAGCUGAUUGCAACAAGAAUUCAACACAUCAUACACAUCAGCAGGGAGGAAAAAGUAUGAUCAUUGCUGUUGGUACACAAAUGUUUAUAAACCUCUUCUGAAAAAGUUUUACCCACAGAAUCAAAAUGGAAGAUAGUUUUAAAAUCAGCUGCAUCCUAGUUCAGUAAAUGUUUACCUUUACUACUGCCAUAUAAAUGCAUGUUCAUGUUUUUGCUCUUGCCAACUACCACUGAAUUAAAUUAAAAAUAUAUAGGCUAUUAUUUUUCAGAAUCAAUGACUUCACAGAACAUUAUAAUAGGAACUCAAAGAACCCACUGAGUUCAGUUUUAAUUUUAUAAUAUUUUGUUUAAUAAUGUCUAUUAAAACAUCCAUUAAAAGAAUAUCAUGCUAAUUUAACUGGGAACAUAUAAUAGAUGCCAUUGGAAAGCUUCCAUUAAAUUAAUGUUAGAGACUUAAUGUCUUAAAUAGAUGUUGUUAUUAACAAUAUCUUAAAUAGAUGCUGCUAUGAAAAAAAAGUAAUGCAACAUUAAUUAAAAGAAAGCUAGGAAUUCACUGACAAAAGUUCUUACUGAACAGACACCAAACUACUAACAAUAACAAAAUAUUUUCCUCUUUGGUUCUCUAUUUUUACAUCCCCCCCCUAUUUUCCCUUCACAGUACCACACUAUGUAAUUACAAAAAUGCAUAUAAAACAUAUUCUACCACAGGGAUAGAAAGAUUUUUAGUUUCUUUCUCUCAUAUUUUUUAAUUCAAAGUUCAAAAGAGCCAAAGAAGUCUUCAUGCCCCCCUCUUUUUUUUUUUUAAUGCUAAUUUCUGUGUACUUAUUGGCAUAUAUCUAUCAUUUUCAAGAUAUUCUUUUUUCAUUCCAUCUAGUUCAGAAUAGUCCAUAAAGCUAUAAAUCUACUGAAGAGCAAGAAAAGAAAUGACAACAUUUGUAUGAUGAUACUUGACUGCUGUUAGUCAGAAACAUAUAUGUAGGUCUCAUCACAUACACUGAUGAUGGAGCUGAAGAAAGUGCAAAACAAUGUAAAAGUCAAAAGACCUGGCUGAUUACAAAUCUGUUAUCAUCUAUCACACUGUUAACAUAUCUUAGAGAUAAUAUCCAGGUUAAUAAGGCAUUUCCUCACCUUGAAAUGCAAGUUAAAGUUCUCUCUUAAUGCAGGGAUGGAAUACAAGAUAACUCAAUUUUUUAGCUUGAAAGUCAUUGCUAUUCUCUGUCAUCAUAGAACUGGAAAAACAAAACAAAACAAAACAAACAAAAAAAAGAGCAGAAAUAAAUACAUGGGAAAGAAAAUAUCAUGAAGAUAAUGCUCAUAGUCACAUCUCCGAUAGGAAACAAGAUUUACAUCACGUUGUAGACUCAUAUUUCCUGACAUUUGUCCUAGCGUAUUAUGAUCAAAGAACUAAAGCAGUCACAGGGAAACACCACAGGAAGGAUUAAAUUAAAUGAUUAUGUAAACUUCUGAAGGAAGACAGCUUUCACUGCACAUCCUGACUGCUAGAAACAUUUUAGAGUAUAUUUAGAGGCUGCCUUUUUUUCAGGCUCUUGCUUAGAGACCCCCCCGAUGCUUUUAGCUCAUUUUAUUAGUUAUGCAUUGCCCUACAGUUACCAUCCCCUUGAACUGAACUGGCUGCCAAACUAACAGCUGAUGCUUGUAACAUGUUCACCAGAGCCAGCCAGGAAGACACCAUGACCAAGCUGCAAAGAAGGGUAAAGUCUUACAAAGUCCAGUGGAGUAAUAUUAGCUUGAUAGGUGAUUAAAAAUCUCAGGGACAGUGCUGAGAAGAAACAAUACACUGUGUACCAAAUCUCUAUAUUUCUAGUAAAGAAUUAUUCCAAGGAAGUAAGAGAGUUUUACAUUAAAAAAAAAAAAAAAAAAAAAAAAAAAAAAAAAAAAA